AAGUAAGGGAGCUACCAUUUGAUUUUUAUGGGGGGGGCUAGGAUGAAAAAUUUUGUCCUGCAUUUUUUUUUAGUUGUAAUGUCUGUCCUGCCUUUUUAUUUUUCACUCUAUUCGGUCCUGCCUUUUUUUUUAAAGUUUAUCCUGACUUUUUUUACCUAAAUUGUCAUCCUGCCUUUUUUUUUUUUGCAAGUGUCUCAUCCUGCCUUUUUUUUUUACUCAGAAUUCCUGUCCUGCCUAUUUUUUUCAAAUUUCAUCCCCCCCCCCAUAAAAAUCAAAUGGUAGCUCCCUAAUGCACAAGAGCUGGGAGAAAUCAACAAAAUAAAAAUAAAAUAAAAUUCCGCGAAAGUCUAUUAAUUUUUUUGGCGCAUUUAAUUCAUUUCAAAACAUGGCGUCAUACAAAUGAAACCGCUUAAGUUGAAAGUUUUCUGUUAUGUGAACCAUCGAAAUUCGUAUGAUAUUGUAUUAAAACUGAUUUUUGAGGUAGGUUUUGUUUUAUUUUCUAUUCUAUUGCAUUAUUUGCAUAUUUACUAAUUUCAGCAAGUCAACAAGGCCGCUCCUUAGUUACGAAAUGUCAACUUUGGAUUUGAAGGAAUCUUACGAGAAAAUCAUGUAAAUCAAAAAUGCAAAUGUUGGGUUUGAGA
Molecule: long non-coding RNA, 641 nt
Filed under: Mytilus galloprovincialis (Mediterranean mussel)
Lineage: Eukaryota; Metazoa; Mollusca; Bivalvia; Mytilida; Mytilidae
Source: RNAcentral